AUCAAAUAAAGAUGCUUUCAACACGCUGUAUUAUUUCUUUUGACAUGAAAUACUCUGAUCCUUUUUAAAGAUGCUGUACUAUUGACUUUUGUACUAUUUCCUCCAUAAUAUCUGUAUUUAUUCUACAGCCCUGUUGCUGUGUCAAUAGCACAGAGGAAACAUUGGUGGUGCAGCAUGUUGAAGAAGGAAGUUUCAUGGCUCGGCUUGACCUCCUCACGCACAAACGCAUGAGGACCGUCACCGACUACUUCCUGGCUCCCUG
Molecule: long non-coding RNA, 262 nt
Organism: Gasterosteus aculeatus aculeatus (three-spined stickleback)
Lineage: Eukaryota; Metazoa; Chordata; Actinopteri; Perciformes; Gasterosteidae
Source: Ensembl